This 468-nucleotide ribosomal RNA is filed under the name uncultured bacterium. Its description in RNAcentral is "partial 16S ribosomal RNA". It matches the Rfam family "Bacterial small subunit ribosomal RNA", at positions 28 to 507 of the family's 1533-position model. The record is from RNAcentral.
GACGAACGCUGGCGGCGUGCUUAACACAUGCAAGUCGAACGGAAAGGCCCUGCUUUUGUGGGGUGCUCGAGUGGCGAACGGGUGAGUAACACGUGAGUAACCUGCCCUUGACUUUGGGAUAACUUCAGGAAACUGGGGCUAAUACCGGAUAGGAGCUCCUGCUGCAUGGUGGGGGUUGGAAAGUUUCGGCGGUUGGGGAUGGACUCGCGGCUUAUCAGCUUGUUGGUGGGGUAGUGGCUUACCAAGGCUUUGACGGGUAGCCGGCCUGAGAGGGUGACCGGCCACAUUGGGACUGAGAUACGGCCCAGACUCCUACGGGAGGCAGCAGUGGGGAAUAUUGCACAAUGGGCGGAGGCCUGAUGCAGCGACGCCGCGUGCGGGAUGACGGCCUUCGGGUUGUAAACCGCUUUCGCCUGUGACGAAGCGUGAGUGACGGUAAUGGGUAAAGAAGCACCGGCUAACUACGUG